This 492-nucleotide ribosomal RNA is filed under the name uncultured bacterium. RNAcentral describes it as "partial 16S ribosomal RNA". It matches the Rfam family "Bacterial small subunit ribosomal RNA", at positions 30 to 507 of the family's 1533-position model. The record is from RNAcentral.
AGUGAACGCUAGCGGGAGGCUUAACACAUGCAAGUCGAACGGCAGCGCGGACUUCGGUCGCGCGUCGGGGGGCGAACGGGCGGGUAGUGGAGGGGAACGUGCGCAUUAGCGUUGGAGAAGUGCGCGAAGGCGGAGAUAAUACCGCAUACGCGCAACGGAGCAAAGCGGGAGAGCAGAAGACCUUCGGACCUUGGGGGGUCGGAUGAGCCGAUGUCGGAUUAGCUAGUUGGCGGGGUAAAGGCCCACCAAGGCGACGAUCCGUAGCUGGUCUGAGAGGAUGAUCAGCCACACUGGAACUGAGACACGGUCCAGACUCCUACGGGAGGCAGCAGUGGGGAAUAUUGGACAAUGGGCGCAAGCCUGAUCCAGCCAUCCCGCGUGGGUGAAGAAGGCCUUCGGGUUGUAAAGCCCUUUUGUUAGGAAAGAAAAGCCGCAGGUUAAUACCCCGCUGUUCUGACGGUACCCAAAGAAUAAGCACCGGCUAACUUCGUG